RNAcentral lists this ribosomal RNA (497 nucleotides) under uncultured bacterium. RNAcentral's name for it is "partial 16S ribosomal RNA". It matches the Rfam family "Bacterial small subunit ribosomal RNA", at positions 28 to 507 of the family's 1533-position model. The record is from RNAcentral.
GAUGAACGCUGGCGGCGUGCCUAAUACAUGCAAGUCGAGCGAACAGACGAGGAGCUUGCUCCUCUGACGUUAGCGGCGGACGGGUGAGUAACACGUGGAUAACCUACCUAUAAGACUGGGAGAACUUCGGGAAACCGGAGCUAAUACCGGAUAAUAUAUUGAACCGCAUGGUUCAAUAGUUAAAGACGGUUUUGCUGUCACUUAUAGAUGGAUCCGCGCCGCAUUAGCUAGUUGGUAAGGUAACGGCUUACCAAGGCGACGAUGCGUAGCCGACCUGAGAGGGUGAUCGGCCACACUGGAACUGAGACACGGUCCAGACUCCUACGGGAGGCAGCAGUAGGGAAUCUUCCGCAAUGGGCGAAAGCCUGACGGAGCAACGCCGCGUGAGUGAUGAAGGUCUUCGGAUCGUAAAACUCUGUUAUUAGGGAAGAAAAAAUGUGUAAGUAACUAUGCACGUCUUGACGGUACCUAAUCAGAAAGCCACGGCUAACUACGUG